This 439-nucleotide long non-coding RNA is filed under the name Setaria viridis. Its description in RNAcentral is "long non-coding RNA (SVIR_LNC007407)". The record is from RNAcentral. Lineage: Eukaryota; Viridiplantae; Streptophyta; Magnoliopsida; Poales; Poaceae.
GAACAAAGCAGGAUCUUGGGGCUUUCAUUGGUGACAGUGAGACCAGGUCGAUGGGGAAGGGAACGGUGCAGCAGAGCUACCUAGGAUGUUUAUGUCGAUAAUGGGUGGUCGGAGCGACAAUGAAAGUAUUGAUGAUCAUUAUGUUAGAAAAUAUGGCCUCCAACUAUGCAUGGAAAAUGACUCGUUGAGAUAAAACAGCUUUGCUAUAGGGAUUUAAACUAAUGAGUACCACAAGUUUUGUGUCCCAGCAUGUUUUGCAAGGAAUCUAGGUAAGUUGGUGUACAAAUGCCAUAAAUGGUAGAUGUAUAAACAUAGCCCCUAAGUCAAAGGAUCAAUGGUGCACAAGGUUUGGAGUUUCGGUCGAAGUUCACCAAAAACCAGCGAAUUCUGGUCCUAACAGUAGAGACUGGUACCUAAUUAGGCCUCUUUUAUACACAAG